UUGGUUUCUUCGUUUCGAGGAAACGAAAGAAGAGCCAUGUUUCAGACGGGUGAAGAACGAAUUUCGCUGACUUCUCCGGGAGUACGAAGUGCCUCUGAACGAGGUGAUACGGUAGCCCUCAGAAGUAGAGGUUAGAAUACGCUGGAAAAGAGGAUGAGAAAAGCUUCGUUCGGACCCGCGAGGAGUCUCUCUCUCCUUUUCCAGACAAAUGGCACGCUUUAUCACUCUGACCCCUCAAUCCCAUCGUAUCUUCUCACCAACCCUCAGCGGGUAAAGUCCCGUGCGCAUGCGCAAGGGUCCUCUCUCCAUUUUCGGUUAUACCACUGGCUCGUUUGUAUGAGAUAUCGCCACUUGUAAAAUUACCCCGAAAACCGUGUCCCGUAUAUUUCACCAUUAAGGCCCAGAGAGCUCGGUUACACUUCUUGUUACUAUACCUGAAUGGUAUACGUAUACCUAAUACUGGGUUAAAUAGACGGACAGAUGGAAGGGGGACUCGUGUAAAGCGUUAGUUCGCUUAGUUCGUCGAGGUUCCCCUGAAUUCUAACAGAUGGCGCUGUAGCACGGUAUCUCGAUACCGAUUAAUCCUUGAGUCAAUUGGACGAAAGUUUAAUUGACACUCGUUAGAAGAGAAUUCUGGCCGUGUGAUGUAGUAUAACGUAAAGCUGGGAAAGCUACCCCUGGGAACGUGGUGGUUAUGCCCAUACCCGUGUGAGGGUUACGGCGGCUUUCGACGAGAUGGUUCACACUUUGUUUUAUGGGAAUCGUAAAUCGCGAAACGGGGCCCAGAACGUAGUUUGAGCUUGCGCCAACUUUCCAGUCUAUGCAUACAUUAUAAUCUUUUUCUAUGGGUUCGCGCGUCGGCUGGGACAUAGGCAGGCAAGGGUUGCACGGUGUAAGGGAAUUGUUGGAAAGUCGAAGUAUAUGAUUGGUGGCCCGGAGGGAUGCUCGAGGUACAGGAGGAGACGGAGGAGAGAAAAAUAUAUAAAAAUUCAUCCAACCACCGACAUUUGGACAAAGUAUCUCCAUUUCAACAUUCGUACGUACAGGAACAUUUCCUCUUCCGGUUUCUUCGCCGGCGGAACUUUGUUCGGUAUGACGUUCACCUUGGCGCAGCCGGUCUUGCACUUUUUACCUUGAAAACGAGGAUACUCACGUUAUUGGACGAUUCCCAGAGUACGAGAAAUGGGUCAGCGAAGCUUAGUGAAUUUCCUGGAUACGUCGGCAAAGAAACGCUGUAAGGUUACGGGACACAGCACAGUGGAUGGAAAUCUUGAUUUAUGAUGUUAUCGAUAAUUCUUUAUGGGAAAUACAACUUUUAUUGAUAGGACACAAGAAAUCACGUAGCGGAUUAUUCACGCCGUUUCCUGUCUCGACGAACGGAAGAAGGCAUCGGAACACGAUACAUCGAACGUUGGGUUGCGUUCAGAUACUUCCCCUUGAAUCCCUUCGAUCUGUCUCAGAUCCUUGGCCACUCUGAUAGAGAGGACAUUGUUCUGGAUCUCAUGGGAUACCUCAUCGUACGG
Long non-coding RNA from Cephus cinctus (wheat stem sawfly), 1523 nucleotides. RefSeq lists it as uncharacterized. The transcript has 4 exons. The record is from RefSeq and is a predicted model, not a curated record. Lineage: Eukaryota; Metazoa; Arthropoda; Insecta; Hymenoptera; Cephidae.